Long non-coding RNA from Sycon ciliatum, 521 nucleotides. RefSeq lists it as uncharacterized. The transcript has 3 exons. NCBI's taxonomy places the organism in Eukaryota, Metazoa, Porifera, Calcarea, Leucosolenida, Sycettidae. The record is from RefSeq and is a predicted model, not a curated record.
UGAAAACGAGCAGCGAUACCAUGUACCAAAUGUUUGCAGACUCAAAAAGGCAAGAGUAUAAGAAAUCAAUCUCAAACUUUGACGAUGUGAGUGAGGAUGCGCUUGGUAUUCUUGCCAUCGGACUUCCCACCAUGACCAGGCGAGUGGAAAGGUUUCUUGAUGGAGUGAGUAAUUACUGCUCACAUAAUCACUGUACAAUGCACCAUGAACCUACUACCAACGGCCAUAAUCAACUACUGAAUAUGUACUACCGCUGUAUUGGAUUCUCAUCAAGCCCCGGAUCCCGGACGUGUCCAUCAUCAAAGCUUGACCGUCCCCCUCAUUCCGAGUUAUGUUAUUCUUUGGUGGUUGUCACUUGUGACUUUCGAGAAUAUUAUUCGGAGCCAAUGCUGUCCAGUUCGAGGAGGGGCACUGGAGAGUGGAAGAAUGUGGCUUUCAGCAUAUGCCAGGAGCACUGAAGAAACCACCUCCAUACUUCUCCAAUACCUGACCUGGAAAAAUUCAUCUCUGAUUAUGGUGAG